RNAcentral lists this ribosomal RNA (759 nucleotides) under uncultured Bacteroidales bacterium. RNAcentral describes it as "bacterial SSU rRNA". It matches the Rfam family "Bacterial small subunit ribosomal RNA", at positions 28 to 776 of the family's 1533-position model. Lineage: Bacteria; Pseudomonadati; Bacteroidota; Bacteroidia; Bacteroidales. The record is from RNAcentral.
GAUGAACGCUAGCGGCAGGCCUAACACAUGCAAGUCGAGGGGCAUCGAGAUGGCAGCAAUGUCAUUGUCGGCGACCGGCGAACGGGUGCGUAACGCGUGAACAACUUGCCGGACACAGGGGGAUAAUCGUCGGAAACGUCGUCUAAUAUCCCAUAAGAUAAACAUAGGCAUCUAUGUUUAUUGAAAGAUUUUAUAUCGGUGUCUGAUAGGUUCGCGUGACAUUAGCUAGUCGGUGGGGCAACGGCCCACCGAGGCGACGAUGUCUAGGGGUUCUGAGAGGAAGGCCCCCCACACUGGGACUGAGACACGGCCCAGACUCCUACGGGAGGCAGCAGUGGGGGAUAUUGGACAAUGGGCGGAAGCCUGAUCCAGCCAUGCCGCGUGAAGGAAUAAGGUCCUAUGGGUCGUAAACUUCUUUUGACGCAGAGCAAUAAGGGACACGUGUGUUCCGAUGAGAGUAUGCGUCGAAUAAGCAUCGGCUAACUCCGUGCCAGCAGCCGCGGUAAUACGGAGGAUGCGAGCGUUAUCCGGAUUUAUUGGGUUUAAAGGGUGCGUAGGCUGUUGGAUAAGUCAGCGGUGAAAUCACCACGCUUAACGUGUUGUGUGCCGUUGAAACUGUCCAGCUUGAAUGCGCUCGUCGUGAGAGGAAUGUGUGGUGUAGCGGUGAAAUGCAUAGAUAUCACACAGAACACCGAUUGCGAAGGCAUCUCACGAGAGCGUUAUUGACGCUGAUGCACGAAAGCGCGGGUAUCGAACAGG